Hydra vulgaris (swiftwater hydra) is the source of this 721-nucleotide long non-coding RNA. RefSeq lists it as uncharacterized. Lineage: Eukaryota; Metazoa; Cnidaria; Hydrozoa; Anthoathecata; Hydridae. The record is from RefSeq and is a predicted model, not a curated record.
AUUUAUUCUUCCACACUAAGAAUAUUCUGCUUUUGUUAGGUCUUCCUAUUUUCUCAAUGACACAAAUGCUAAAGUGCGUGAUUGUUCGAAGAAAAUUUCACUAACAAAUAAUAAUCAUCUUUAUAAUGACAGAUUUACAGCGUUGAAUUCGACAAAUUUGAAAAAAAAGACGAGAGCGUGGUGGCUAAAUGAUUCCGUUAGAGAAGGUAGAAACACCAACAAAAAGCUUUGAAGUUAAUGAUAGUAAAGGUAUGAAUUAAAAACUUACUUAUUCAUUUGUAAUUGUUAGCGUUUUUUUUUUAUUUAUAAUUUAUUUUCUAGAGGAGGCAGAUAAUUAUAAAAAUCUUUGCAGUUAAAGACAGUGAAAGUAUAUAAUAAUAAAUUACUUUACAAUUUGUUAGCGUUACCUUUUUAUUUUAAUGUAUUUUUUUUUUUUUUAGAGGAGGCAGAUACAAAAAAUAGUUUUGUAGUAAAAGAUGGUAAAAGUAGGAUUUAAAAAGUUACUUUUUCAUAAAUAAAUGUUAGCAUUUUAUUUUAAAGUAUUGCUUGUUUUUAGAGAAGGCAGUGAAGCCAAUAAAAAUCAUUGUAGUUGAAGAUAGUGAAGAGGAGGCAGAUAUUUAUAUAGAAAGCUCGGUAGUUAAAGGCAGUGAAGGUAUAUAAUAAUAAAUUACCUUUAUAUUUUGUUAGUGUUAGUCUUUUAUUGUAAUGUAUGGUUUUUUUC